AGAUCAAAAUGUAACAUUGCUCCCAAUUCAGAUUCCAGUUGGUCUCAUGCAUGGGCAAUUACAUAAGUCGUGAUGCUGACAGAGCAACGCUGAGACAUGCUCUCUGGCACGUGGCCUCCUCUGUUUGGUGGCCAGUUUCAGUUUCCUGAUAGGUCUUGUUCUGUAGCUCAUCCGGGACAGAUAUGUGACAGGGAGCCAAGGACAAGCAGAAAGUCUGCAAGCGCAGGAAAGGUUAAGUCAUCUUGACCCUGUUCUACCUUCCGUAGAAGGAACCACUGAGCUUGGACUUGCUGGAAAACAUGUGGGCAGUUUUCCUUGAGAAGUGCCAGGCUGAGACUCCUACUUGCUACAACCCACCCAGGGCCAGUCAUGCCUCUGCCACCAGCAAUGAGGACACCAAGGGUUUCAAAAGUUCUAUCUGGAUUUUUUUUUCCCUUAAGAAAAAAAAAAAAAACACAACUACUACUCUACUACUCUAUGUAACUGGUGAUGUGGACCCAUCAUUUGGCCUGGAGAGGAGCGUCUGAAACCGGGAGCCUUGCUCGUGCUGCGAGCACAGCCGGCCGGCCUCAGCGUCCUCAGCAUCCUCAGCGUCCUCAGCUCCGAGCGGCUGUUUGCACAAAUGACUGUGUCUCCAGCUCUUCCGGAGAGAACUCUGGUUCUUGUUAGCAGCUUUCCAGCUUUGAUCGCCAAGCCCGAGACAGGAGAGUUGCGCCUUUUGAAGUAGCCAAUGUUGCUCAUUCAAAGGCAACAGAGUUUGAUCACCUUUGGUUGGAUGCUUGUCAGCUGGGACAUGAGAUCCUGGUAUUUGGCUGCCAUCCACACUGGCCACAGGGGCAACCAGAAAAUCCCUAAAUGGAAAUCACUUAAAAACAUUGACGAUGGUCAAGGUGCUAAAAGUAGAAAUCCACUUGUAGAAAUCGUAUAAAAACGUUCUUAACUCCUAACUCUGGGAAACGGA
Long non-coding RNA from Canis lupus familiaris (dog), 961 nucleotides. RefSeq lists it as uncharacterized. Lineage: Eukaryota; Metazoa; Chordata; Mammalia; Carnivora; Canidae. The transcript is spliced from 3 exons. The record is from RefSeq and is a predicted model, not a curated record.